RNAcentral lists this long non-coding RNA (283 nucleotides) under Helianthus annuus (common sunflower). Its description in RNAcentral is "sRNA HanXRQr2_Chr04g0151201". The record is from RNAcentral. Lineage: Eukaryota; Viridiplantae; Streptophyta; Magnoliopsida; Asterales; Asteraceae.
CCAUCAAAUUGAAAGGGGAAUUGAAGGCUAUUUGGAUGCAUGAACCAGGAAUGUUAAUUACCUAAGUGUUUCUAACAUCAAGAACAAAGAAAGACGAAGGAACAAGUCAAUCCAAGGCGCUAGAAACGCAAGAUUUCGGUAAAUCCUCACUUUAGGCGAUUUGGAGAUUUGGAGCGAGCACGGGUCCAUGUUAUGUUAUACCAAAAGCUUCCGCUAGUUUAUGUUCGUCCUUAUGGUCCAUGACUUGUUAUUUUGUCCAACUUUGGUCGUAGAUUGUUGUUAG